UGGCGGACGGGUGAGUAACGCGUAAGAACCUGCCCUUGGAGGGGGACAACAGCUGGAAACGGUUGCUAAUACCCCAUAGGCUGAGGAGCGAAAGGAGGAAUCCGCCUAAGGAGGGGCUUGCGUCUGAUUAGCUAGUUGGUGAGGCAAUGGCUUACCAAGGCGACGAUCAGUAGCUGGUCUGAGAGGAUGAUCAGCCACACUGGGACUGAGACACGGCCCAG
This 221-nucleotide ribosomal RNA is filed under the name uncultured bacterium. RNAcentral describes it as "partial 16S ribosomal RNA". It matches the Rfam family "Bacterial small subunit ribosomal RNA", at positions 96 to 334 of the family's 1533-position model. The record is from RNAcentral.